AUUGAACGCUGGCGGCAGGCCUAACACAUGCAAGUCGAGCGGAGGAAGGGAGCUUGCUCCUGGAUUCAGCGGCGGACGGGUGAGUAAUGCCUAGGAAUCUGCCUGGUAGUGGGGGAUAACGUCCGGAAACGGGCGCUAAUACCGCAUACGUCCUGAGGGAGAAAGUGGGGGAUCUUCGGACCUCACGCUAUCAGAUGAACCUAGGUCGGAUUAGCUAGUUGGUGGGGUAAAGGCCUACCAAGGCGACGAUCCGUAACUGGUCUGAGAGGAUGAUCAGUCACACUGGAACUGAGACACGGUCCAGACUCCUACGGGAGGCAGCAGUGGGGAAUAUUGGACAAUGGGCGAAAGCCUGAUCCAGCCAUGCCGCGUGUGUGAAGAAGGUCUUCGGAUUGUAAAGCACUUUAAGUUGGGAGGAAGGGCAGUAAGUUAAUACCUUGCUGUUUUGACGUUACCAACAGAAUAAGCACCGGCUAACUUCGUG
RNAcentral lists this ribosomal RNA (484 nucleotides) under uncultured bacterium. Its description in RNAcentral is "partial 16S ribosomal RNA". It matches the Rfam family "Bacterial small subunit ribosomal RNA", at positions 30 to 507 of the family's 1533-position model. The record is from RNAcentral.